GCCGGGCAUGGUGGUGCUUGCCUGUAGUCCCAGCUACUCUGGAGGCUGAGGCGGGAGAAUUGCUUGAACCCAGGAGGUGGAGGCUGCAGUGAGCUGAGAUGGUGCCACUGCACUCCAGCCUGGGCAACAGAGCAAGACUCUGUCUCAA
Molecule: non-coding RNA, 148 nt
Filed under: Gorilla gorilla gorilla (western lowland gorilla)
Lineage: Eukaryota; Metazoa; Chordata; Mammalia; Primates; Hominidae
Source: Rfam by way of RNAcentral